GGGUUGUGAGGUUAAGCGACUAAGCGUACACGGUGGAUGCCCUGGCAGUCAGAGGCGAUGAAGGACGUGCUAAUCUGCGAUAAGCGUCGGUAAGGUGAUAUGAACCGUUAUAACCGGCGAUUUCCGAAUGGGGAAACCCAGUGUGUUUCGACACACUAUCAUUAACUGAAUCCAUAGGUUAAUGAGGCGAACCGGGGGAACUGAAACAUCUAAGUACCCCGAGGAAAAGAAAUCAACCGAGAUUCCCCCAGUAGCGGCGAGCGAACGGGGAGGAGCCCAGAGCCUGAAUCAGUGUGUGUGUUAGUGGAAGCGUCUGGAAAGGCGCGCGAUACAGGGUGACAGCCCCGUACACAAAAAUGCACAUGCUGUGAGCUCGAUGAGUAGGGCGGGACACGUGGUAUCCUGUCUGAAUAUGGGGGACCAUCCUCCAAGGCUAAAUACUCCUGACUGACCGAUAGUGAACCAGUACCGUGAGGGAAAGGCGAAAAGAACCCCGGCGAGGGGAGUGAAAAAGAACCUGAAACCGUGUACGUACAAGCAGUGGGAGCACAGAGCAAUCUGUGUGACUGCGUACCUUUUGUAUAAUGGGUCAGCGACUUAUAUUCUGUAGCAAGGUUAACCGAAUAGGGGAGCCGAAGGGAAACCGAGUCUUAACUGGGCGUUAAGUUGCAGGGUAUAGACCCGAAACCCGGUGAUCUAGCCAUGGGCAGGUUGAAGGUUGGGUAACACUAACUGGAGGACCGAACCGACUAAUGUUGAAAAAUUAGCGGAUGACUUGUGGCUGGGGGUGAAAGGCCAAUCAAACCGGGAGAUAGCUGGUUCUCCCCGAAAGCUAUUUAGGUAGCGCCUCGUGAAUUCAUCUCCGGGGGUAGAGCACUGUUUCGGCAAGGGGUCAUCCCGACUUACCAACCCGAUGCAAACUGCGAAUACCGGAGAAUGUUAUCACGGGAGACACACGGCGGGUGCUAACGUCCGUCGUGAAGAGGGAAACAACCCAGACCGCCAGCUAAGGUCCCAAAGUCAUGGUUAAGUGGGAAACGAUGUGGGAAGGCCCAGACAGCCAGGAUGUUGGCUUAGAAGCAGCCAUCAUUUAAAGAAAGCGUAAUAGCUCACUGGUCGAGUCGGCCUGCGCGGAAGAUGUAACGGGGCUAAACCAUGCACCGAAGCUGCGGCAGCGACACUGUGUGUUGUUGGGUAGGGGAGCGUUCUGUAAGCCUGUGAAGGUGUGCUGUGAGGCAUGCUGGAGGUAUCAGAAGUGCGAAUGCUGACAUAAGUAACGAUAAAGCGGGUGAAAAGCCCGCUCGCCGGAAGACCAAGGGUUCCUGUCCAACGUUAAUCGGGGCAGGGUGAGUCGACCCCUAAGGCGAGGCCGAAAGGCGUAGUCGAUGGGAAACAGGUUAAUAUUCCUGUACUUGGUGUUACUGCGAAGGGGGGACGGAGAAGGCUAUGUUGGCCGGGCGACGGUUGUCCCGGUUUAAGCGUGUAGGCUGGUUUUCCAGGCAAAUCCGGAAAAUCAAGGCUGAGGCGUGAUGACGAGGCACUACGGUGCUGAAGCAACAAAUGCCCUGCUUCCAGGAAAAGCCUCUAAGCAUCAGGUAACAUCAAAUCGUACCCCAAACCGACACAGGUGGUCAGGUAGAGAAUACCAAGGCGCUUGAGAGAACUCGGGUGAAGGAACUAGGCAAAAUGGUGCCGUAACUUCGGGAGAAGGCACGCUGAUAUGUAGGUGAAGUCCCUCGCGGAUGGAGCUGAAAUCAGUCGAAGAUACCAGCUGGCUGCAACUGUUUAUUAAAAACACAGCACUGUGCAAACACGAAAGUGGACGUAUACGGUGUGACGCCUGCCCGGUGCCGGAAGGUUAAUUGAUGGGGUCAGCGCAAGCGAAGCUCUUGAUCGAAGCCCCGGUAAACGGCGGCCGUAACUAUAACGGUCCUAAGGUAGCGAAAUUCCUUGUCGGGUAAGUUCCGACCUGCACGAAUGGCGUAAUGAUGGCCAGGCUGUCUCCACCCGAGACUCAGUGAAAUUGAACUCGCUGUGAAGAUGCAGUGUACCCGCGGCAAGACGGAAAGACCCCGUGAACCUUUACUAUAGCUUGACACUGAACAUUGAGCCUUGAUGUGUAGGAUAGGUGGGAGGCUUUGAAGUGUGGACGCCAGUCUGCAUGGAGCCGACCUUGAAAUACCACCCUUUAAUGUUUGAUGUUCUAACGUGGACCCGUGAUCCGGGUUGCGGACAGUGUCUGGUGGGUAGUUUGACUGGGGCGGUCUCCUCCUAAAGAGUAACGGAGGAGCACGAAGGUUGGCUAAUCCUGGUCGGACAUCAGGAGGUUAGUGCAAUGGCAUAAGCCAGCUUGACUGCGAGCGUGACGGCGCGAGCAGGUGCGAAAGCAGGUCAUAGUGAUCCGGUGGUUCUGAAUGGAAGGGCCAUCGCUCAACGGAUAAAAGGUACUCCGGGGAUAACAGGCUGAUACCGCCCAAGAGUUCAUAUCGACGGCGGUGUUUGGCACCUCGAUGUCGGCUCAUCACAUCCUGGGGCUGAAGUAGGUCCCAAGGGUAUGGCUGUUCGCCAUUUAAAGUGGUACGCGAGCUGGGUUUAGAACGUCGUGAGACAGUUCGGUCCCUAUCUGCCGUGGGCGCUGGAGAACUGAGGGGGGCUGCUCCUAGUACGAGAGGACCGGAGUGGACGCAUCACUGGUGUUCGGGUUGUCAUGCCAAUGGCACUGCCCGGUAGCUAAAUGCGGAAGAGAUAAGUGCUGAAAGCAUCUAAGCACGAAACUUGCCCCGAGAUGAGUUCUCCCUGACCCUUUAAGGGUCCUGAAGGAACGUUGAAGACGACGACGUUGAUAGGCCGGGUGUGUAAGCGCAGCGAUGCGUUGAGCUAACCGGUACUAAUGAACCGUGAGGCUUAACCUUACAACGCCGAAGGUGUUU
Molecule: ribosomal RNA, 2930 nt
Filed under: Escherichia coli
Lineage: Bacteria; Pseudomonadati; Pseudomonadota; Gammaproteobacteria; Enterobacterales; Enterobacteriaceae
Description: 23S ribosomal RNA
Rfam family: Bacterial large subunit ribosomal RNA
Source: RNAcentral